CAAGCAAAUAUCAAAGUUUCUAUCAACUCAUUAAUUGUAAAAUUUUUGUUUUGCUAAAAUCUGCUGUAACAAAUUUCAAGGAUUUAAAACUUGAAGAAAAGAUUUAAUCCAAAUCUGACAAUUAGACUGUGAGCCUAGGGAAAGGCUUGUAAAGAUUGUAGUUGGUGACCCAAAAAAUAAACUGAAUUUGAUUGUGAGCUCGGC
RNAcentral lists this long non-coding RNA (204 nucleotides) under Elaeis guineensis (African oil palm). RNAcentral's name for it is "long non-coding RNA (EGUI_LNC038177)". Lineage: Eukaryota; Viridiplantae; Streptophyta; Magnoliopsida; Arecales; Arecaceae. The record is from RNAcentral.